ACAUGCAAGUCGAACGAACUUAACCAUUAGUUUACUAUUGGAGCGGUUAGUGGCGGACUGGUGAGUAACACGUAAGCAACCUGCCUAUCAGAGGGGAACAACAGUUAGAAAUGACUGCUAAUACCGCAUAUGCCUUAGAAUCACAUGGUUCGAAAGGGAAAGGAGCAAUCCGCUGAUAGAUGGGCUUGCGUCUGAUUAGCUAGUUGGUGGGGUAAUGGCCUACCAAGGCGACGAUCAGUAGCCGAACUGAGAGGUUGAACGGCCACAUUGGGACUGAGAUACGGCCCAGACUCCUACGGGAGGCAGCAGUCGGGAAUAUUGCGCAAUGGAGGAAACUCUGACGCAGUGACGCCGCGUGCAGGAAGAAGGUUUUCGGAUUGUAAACUGCUUUAGACAGGGAAGAACAAAGACAGUACCUGUAGAAUAAGCUCCGGCUAACUACGUGCCAGCAGCCGCGGUAAUACGUAGGGAGCGAGCGUUAUCCGGAUUUAUUGGGUGUAAAGGGUGCGUAGACGGGAAGUCAAGUUAGUUGUGAAAUCCCUCGGCUUAACUGAGGAACUGCAACUAAAACUGAUUUUCUUGAGUACUGGAGAGGAAAGUGGAAUUCCUAGUGUAGCGGUGAAAUGCGUAGAUAUUAGGAGGAACACCAGUGGCGAAGGCGACUUUCUGGACAGAAACUGACGUUGAGGCACGAAAGUGUGGGGAGCAAACAGGAUUAGAUACCCUGGUAGUCCACACCGUAAACGAUGGAUACUAGGUGUAGGGGAUAUUAAAAUUCUCUGUGCCGCCGCUAACGCAAUAAGUAUCCCACCUGGGGAGUACGGCCGCA
RNAcentral lists this ribosomal RNA (829 nucleotides) under uncultured bacterium. RNAcentral's name for it is "bacterial SSU rRNA". It matches the Rfam family "Bacterial small subunit ribosomal RNA", at positions 53 to 890 of the family's 1533-position model. The record is from RNAcentral.